GACGAACGCUGGCGGCGUGCUUAACACAUGCAAGUCGAACGCUGACGCUCAGCUUGCUGGGUGGAUGAGUGGCGAACGGGUGAGUAACACGUGAGUAAACUGCCCUCUUCUUUGGGAUAACGCCCGGAAACGGGUGCUAAUACUGGAUAUUCCCUGAUUCUCGCAUGGGGGUUGGUGGAAAGGUUUUUCCUGGUGGGGGGUGGGCUCGCGGUCUAUCAGCUUGUUGGUGGGGUGAUGGCGUACCACGGCUUUGACGGGUAGUCGACCUGGGAGGGUGACCGUGCAAAUUGGAACUGGGAUACAGUCCAGACUGCGACAGGAGUCGGCAGUGGGGGAUAUUGCGCGAUAGGCGAAAGCCUGAAGCAGCGGCGGCGCGUGAGGGAUGGAGGCCUUCGGGUUGUAAACCUCGUGCGCGCAAGGUCAAACCGCAGCUUUGGGUUGUGGUGAGGGUAGUGAGUAAAGAAGCGCCGGCUAACUACGUG
This 482-nucleotide ribosomal RNA is filed under the name uncultured bacterium. RNAcentral's name for it is "partial 16S ribosomal RNA". It matches the Rfam family "Bacterial small subunit ribosomal RNA", at positions 28 to 507 of the family's 1533-position model. The record is from RNAcentral.